UACGUAGGGUGCGAGCGUUGUCCGGAAUUAUUGGGCGUAAAGAGCUCGUAGGCGGUCUGUCGCGUCUGCUGUGAAAACCCGAGGCUCAACCUCGGGCCUGCAGUGGGUACGGGCAGACUAGAGUGCGGUAGGGGAGAAUGGAAUUCCUGGUGUAGCGGUGGAAUGCGCAGAUAUCAGGAGGAACACCGAUGGCGAAGGCAGUUCUCUGGGCCGUUACUGACGCUGAGGAGCGAAAGCGUGGGGAGCGAACAGG
This 253-nucleotide ribosomal RNA is filed under the name uncultured bacterium. Its description in RNAcentral is "partial 16S ribosomal RNA". It matches the Rfam family "Bacterial small subunit ribosomal RNA", at positions 524 to 776 of the family's 1533-position model. The record is from RNAcentral.